AGAGAUGCAUUGGGUUUAAAGCGCAGGCGGUUUUGUAAGACAGAGGUGAAAUCCCCGGGCUCAACCUGGGAACUGCCUUUGUGACUGCAAGGCUGGAGUGCGGCAGAGGGGGAUGGAAUUCCGCGUGUAGCAGUGAAAUGCGUAGAUAUGCGGAGGAACACCGAUGGCGAAGGCAAUCCCCUGGGCCUGCACUGACGCUCAUGCACGAAAGCGUGGGGAGCAAACA
This 226-nucleotide ribosomal RNA is filed under the name uncultured Alicycliphilus sp. RNAcentral's name for it is "partial 16S ribosomal RNA". It matches the Rfam family "Bacterial small subunit ribosomal RNA", at positions 548 to 774 of the family's 1533-position model. The record is from RNAcentral. Lineage: Bacteria; Pseudomonadati; Pseudomonadota; Betaproteobacteria; Burkholderiales; Comamonadaceae.